CUACGGGGGGCAGCAGUCGAGGAAAUUUUACAAUGCUCGCAAGAGUGAUAGAAUAAACCAGAGUGUUCUAUUUAAUAGAACUUUUAUCUGCUGUAAAAAGGCAGAUGAAUAAGGACUGGGCAAGACCGGUGCCAGCCGCCGCGGUAAUACCGGCGGUCCAAGUCGUAUCCACAUUUAUUGGGUCUAAAACAUUCGUAGCUUGUUUUGCAAGUCUCUUGUGAAAUCUGACAUCUCAAAUGUCAGGCGUGCAAGAGAUACUACAUUACUAGAGACCGGAAGACGUAAGGAGUAUGGUUGAGGUAGCGGUAAAAUGUGUUAAUCUCAAUUAGACUGACAAUGGCGAAGGCACCUUACGAGUACGGAUCUGACAGUGAGGGAUGAAGGCUAGGGGCGCAAAAGGGAUUAGAUACCCGGGUAGUC
RNAcentral lists this ribosomal RNA (420 nucleotides) under uncultured archaeon. Its description in RNAcentral is "partial 16S ribosomal RNA". It matches the Rfam family "Archaeal small subunit ribosomal RNA", at positions 323 to 746 of the family's 1478-position model. The record is from RNAcentral.